CCUACGGGAGGCAGCAGUGGGGAAUAUUGGGCAAUGGGCGCAAGCCUGACCCAGCAACGCCGCGUGAAGGAAGAAGGCUUUCGGGUUGUAAACUUCUUUUCUGAGGGACGAAGAAAGUGACGGUACCUCAGGAAUAAGCCACGGCUAACUAUGUGCCAGCAGCCGCGGUAAUACGUAGGUGGCAAGCGUUAUCCGGAUUUAUUGGGUGUAAAGGGCGUGUAGGCGGGAAAGCAAGUCAGAUGUGAAAACUCAGGGCUCAACCCUGAGCCUGCAUUUGAAACUGUGUUUCUUGAGUGCUGGAGAGGCAAUCGGAAUGCCGUGUGUAGAGGGGAAAUGCGUAGAUAUACGGAGGAACACCAGUGGCGAAGGCGGAUUGCUGGACAGUAACUGACGCUGAGGCGCGAAAGCGUGGGGAGCAAACAGGAUUAGAUACCCUAGUAGUC
Molecule: ribosomal RNA, 443 nt
Filed under: uncultured bacterium
Lineage: Bacteria
Description: partial 16S ribosomal RNA
Rfam family: Bacterial small subunit ribosomal RNA
Source: RNAcentral